This 358-nucleotide RNase P RNA is filed under the name uncultured Muribaculum sp. Its description in RNAcentral is "Bacterial RNase P class A". It matches the Rfam family "Bacterial RNase P class A". From Rfam's summary of the family: Ribonuclease P (RNase P) is a ubiquitous endoribonuclease, found in archaea, bacteria and eukarya as well as chloroplasts and mitochondria. Its best characterised activity is the generation of mature 5'-ends of tRNAs by cleaving the 5'-leader elements of precursor-tRNAs. Lineage: Bacteria; Pseudomonadati; Bacteroidota; Bacteroidia; Bacteroidales; Muribaculaceae. The record is from RNAcentral.
AGAGGGGUGGUCAGUCGCUUGCCGACGCACGUGCGGCAAGAGGAAAGUCCGGGCAGCAAAGGGCACCAUGGUUCCUAACGGAAACCCGUUGGCAACAGCGGAGAAGUGUGACAGAAAACAACCGCCGGUUUUCCGGUAAGGGUGAAAAGGCGAGGUAAGAGCUCACCGGGCCGCACAGCGAUAUGCGGUGCCGCAUACCUCAUGGGCUGCAAGGUCAAGUAUACCGGCAUUUAAGGACGGCCCGUCCAUUGCCGGGGGGUAGACUGCUCGAGCGCGGAGGCAACUCCGCGCCUAGAUAAAUGACUGACAGCCGGCCGUUCCAGGCCGGCCACAUAACCCGGCUUACAUCCCCUCUCUU